GAUGAAGAACGUAGCGAAAUGCGAUAAGUAGUGUGAAUUGCAGAAUUCAGUGAAUCAUCGAAUCUUUGAACGCACAUUGCGCCUUCUAGUAUUCUGGGAGGCAUGCCUGUUUGAGCGUCAUUAAACCUCUCUCAAGUAUGAUUACUUGGAUGUGAAGGAAGAGUAACUUAAACUUAAGGAGUGUUCUCCUUUGAAAUUGAUUAGCAGAUGGUAAUGUUAUUAAAUCCCUGAUGUUGUAAGAAAUAACAGUGGUUUUGUAGACUAUUAUCUAGCUUUAAAUUAUAAUUUUUAUUAUGGUUGACCUCAAAUCAGGUAAGGAUACCCGCUGAACUUAAGCAUAUCAAUAAGCGGAGGA
Molecule: unclassified non-coding RNA, 355 nt
Filed under: soil metagenome
Description: partial contains 5.8S ribosomal RNA, internal transcribed spacer 2, and large subunit ribosomal RNA
Rfam family: 5.8S ribosomal RNA (bases 1-120)
Source: RNAcentral